GAUGAACGCUGGCGGCGUGCCUAAUACAUGCAAGUCGAGCGAACAGACGAGGAGCUUGCUCCUCUGACGUUAGCGGCGGACGGGUGAGUAACACGUGGAUCACCUACCUAUAAGACUGGGAUCACUUCGGGAAACCGGAGCUAAUACCGGAUAAUAUCUUGAACCGCAUGGUUCAAUAGUGAAAGACGGUUUUGCUGUCACUUAUAGAUGGAUCCGCGCCGCAUUAGCUAGUUGGUAAGUUAACGGCUUACCAAGGCAACGAUGCGUAGCCGACCUGAGAGGCUGAUCGGCCACACUGGAGCUGAGACACGGUCCAGACGCCUACGGGAGGGCGCAGUAGGGAAUCUUCCGCAAUGGUCGAAAACAUGACGGAGCAACGCCACGUGAGUGAUGAAGGUCUUCGGAUCGUAAAACUCGGUUAUGAGGGAAGAACAAAUGUGUAAGUAACUAUGCACGUCUUGACGGUACCGAAUCAGAAAGCCACGGCUAACUACGUG
RNAcentral lists this ribosomal RNA (497 nucleotides) under uncultured bacterium. Its description in RNAcentral is "partial 16S ribosomal RNA". It matches the Rfam family "Bacterial small subunit ribosomal RNA", at positions 28 to 507 of the family's 1533-position model. The record is from RNAcentral.